Long non-coding RNA from Scatophagus argus, 796 nucleotides. RefSeq lists it as uncharacterized. NCBI's taxonomy places the organism in Eukaryota, Metazoa, Chordata, Actinopteri, Scatophagidae. The transcript has 3 exons. The record is from RefSeq and is a predicted model, not a curated record.
CCUCGCUAACCACGCUGGAGGGGCGACUGCGGCGACCCUCGGGGCCCCCUGCGGCAUGGAGGAGCUGCUGCAGGGCCUCGGGGAAUAUCGUGAGAGCUGAGGACGGAGACGACUGGUGGUCAUCAGGGAGAUCCAGACUUGGUGGAAGUGGCAGAAGUCGCGGGGGAGGAAGCAUCUGCUGCACAAACGCCACCACAAGCUCCCAGUGCAGUCUGGGGAAUUGCAUUCUCCUUGCGUGACUUCCUGAGGCUUGACAUUCCUCCGCGUACCCUUCCUCCACCACGGUCGCUCCUCAGAGUCUCCUCCUCUCCUGGAUGUAAUCGUACAGCUCUCCCCUGCUGGCGUACUCCAUCACUAUCACGAUCUUAUCCCGGCUCUCAAAAACUGCACAGGACACAGGACACAUGUACACUACGGCAUUACACAUAUGUGUUUACAUGAGUAUUUGUGCCUUCUUCACUAUAGAUCAAUGUCCGUGUUUCUGAAAUUCUGUAAGUCUUUUGGGGGUAUUUCUACUGUUUCCAGCUGUACACUCAAAUGUUGAUUGUAACCAAAAUUUGUGGAUGAGUUUCAUGAGAUAUGAUUGCUUACUUGAUUAAAUUUUACCAUCCGAAACGUAAACCUUACUCAAAACUGCAGUAAGUACUUCAUUCGUUUGUUUGGACUAUUUGCAGAAGUGCUAGUCAAUGUUUACAGCGGUAGGACAGUUAACUCAUAAUAAGCUACUGUGAGCAUGUUCGUGGUAAUGAAACAACACUGUAUCAAACAGUGAAGCUACAAUAUAUAGACAAAAGUA